UACCAGAAAUGUCCAGAUGAAUGUCCCAAUUCUUUAUUUCAUAUUACCAAUGCAGAACUCACUCUGGUUAAGAAUCCAGAAUGGGGGUGAGGGAUCAAUAAAACCAAUAGACUUCAUUUCCACAUCCCAAGCAGCUAGGAUUAGUGGACAGACAGGGAGGAGAUGACUAUAUAAUUCUGAAUUUAAAUUAGAAAAGACAAAGUUCACUGUAACUAUUUUCCCCUGGACUUCUACUCCAAAGCCUUCUCACACAGUCAACCUGAGAGUUUCACCAUUUUGAGGCCUGAAAGGAUAAAAACCGAAAGACAUAUGUGCCCGAGAGUGCUGGAGUCCCACUAAUACACUACAAUCCUUCCCUGGAGCCAAGAGAGAAAAUCUAUUCAGCUCCCUGGAUAACCCUGCCCAGCCCUACAGGAGGCCCCAGUCUCAUGACCAACUACUAAAGGGUGCUGAUGGAUCUAGGGCAUUCUGGUGGAUAUCGAAAUGGCAUUUGGGGCUUAGGGAAUGUCAUCAUCAACUGGAAAUAGUGCCAUUUCAAUUCUCAACACUGGCUCUGAGGAAUCCUCAAGUGGGUGAGCAAGAUAAGGCAUGCCUAAGUCAUGACCAGUUCUCCAUGACAUAAUAAAAGGAUAGGAUAGCAACAGCAUGGAGAGUCCUCACAUUUCAAAAAGAUUCUUCAAUGGCACAGCCACCUGCUUCUUUAUCUCAUGACUAGACACAUGGCCUGGUCACUGGCCUGAGUAAAACAUCUUACCAAACAAUUCCAAACAAGUCCCAUGAACAGGGGGAAAAAAAAAAAAAA
This is a non-coding RNA of Ictidomys tridecemlineatus (thirteen-lined ground squirrel), 802 nucleotides long. The record is from RefSeq and is a predicted model, not a curated record. Lineage: Eukaryota; Metazoa; Chordata; Mammalia; Rodentia; Sciuridae.